Molecule: long non-coding RNA, 680 nt
Organism: Bactrocera dorsalis (oriental fruit fly)
Lineage: Eukaryota; Metazoa; Arthropoda; Insecta; Diptera; Tephritidae
Exons: 3
Source: RefSeq, a predicted model, not a curated record
CACAGUUAACCGCGAUUUUUGAUAAUGUCACUGCGUCUAUCUUCUAGGUCAUCAAAAUCACAAAUGCUACUAUUUACUUUGCUAUAGUGUUCAUUCAAACACAAAUUACACCACUUAUUUCCUACUGGGUAGUUGGUAAAAGCCCCGAGUAUUAAAUUCUCAUAACACUUCAGUCCGCUGCAGCACAAUUUCAGUUGCCAUAAACAUUUCUGCGUUGGUGGCGGUAUGUUUGGAAUUAUGGCGUCAUAUUCUACAAUAUUUAUGCUACUAUUGAGCGCGUUUGUAAAGCUGCAUUGCAUUUGUUCACAAUCGCUGGAGGAUUCCUAUAUAUGGGGGCUGGAGCCGCCAAAAGCCAAAAAUUAUUCAAUGCUAGAAGGAGUUCCCUUGGUUGUGGUGUUUGUGUUCAUUUCAAUAUGUGUUCUCUGGUUCGUAGUAUUUAUAUCUUUGUGUUGUUCAAAUGUGUGUUGCCAUAGGCAAAUGCCACGCAGAAACGGCGUAACUGUGGUUAUAAUAGAGAACUGAGCAUUCAUUUAGUACAGAUUGUGAAAUUAUAACCUUAGAUUUAAUAUGUGUACAUUUUUUUAUAAAUAUUUAUAAAUUAAUAUAAACUAAAUUUGUAAUUAAAAUAGAACAUUUUAUAUAAAAUACUGUUGCAAUUUAAUCAAUAUUUUUUGGAACAA